CUGUUAUAAGUCUAUGGUUACAACAUCCUGUGUGUCUGUUGUUGUUUUUAUACAGUCUAAGGGCUGUUGCCACAGCAACUUUGCGGUCCCAGUACUUUCAGCUCACUCACUGCUGGAAUUUGCUUUUUGUAAUUUUACGCUUAGUAGUUAUUUAUCUGCCUGUGAUGCACAAUCAUGUUUGGGCGAGAGUCGCGGCGUUCAACAAACAAGUUUGUGCAGAGAGAGAGCGACAGAAUGCGGAAAAAUGAAGAGAUCGCUGGCAGAACUGCUGAGCUGGACAGAGUCAAGAGUGUGAUAUUGAAGGCUGAAUUUGAGUGCCUUGGCCUUAAUUAUUAUGAAAAGGCCCUGAAACGCAGAGAGAGGAUCCAACAGAGAGAGAUGGAGUUGAGGAACACCUCUCUCACUGUGGUCCGGAGAGAAGCGUUACGCAGGAUGCUGGAGCAGGAGAGACAGCUGCACAUCAGAGAGCUCAGCCAGACUGGCCUGGCCAUUUAUCAACAAAGAAUAUAAACCAUUAAAACACAUUCCAAUGCUGAGCCUUCACGUUCACUGCUUUAUAAUAUGCAUGUGACGGUACAAAAUAAUUGUUUCUACAAUUAAGUUUUCUUUAAACGCAGG
Molecule: long non-coding RNA, 618 nt
Filed under: Sinocyclocheilus grahami
Lineage: Eukaryota; Metazoa; Chordata; Actinopteri; Cypriniformes; Cyprinidae
Description: lncRNA (ENSSGRG00000032610.1)
Source: RNAcentral